This 208-nucleotide ribosomal RNA is filed under the name uncultured Staphylococcus sp. RNAcentral's name for it is "partial 16S ribosomal RNA". It matches the Rfam family "Bacterial small subunit ribosomal RNA", at positions 154 to 355 of the family's 1533-position model. The record is from RNAcentral. Lineage: Bacteria; Bacillati; Bacillota; Bacilli; Caryophanales; Staphylococcaceae.
AAACCGGAGCUAAUACCGAUAAUAUAUUGAACCGCAUGGUUCAAUAGUGAAAGACGGUUUUGNCUGUCACUUAUAGAUGGAUCCGCGCCGCAUUAGCUAGUUGGUAAGGUAACGGCUUACCAAGGCAACGAUGCGUAGCCGACCUGAGAGGGUGAUCGGCCACACUGGAACUGAGACACGGUCCAGACUCCUACGGGAGGCAGCAGUC